GAGUUUACAUAUUUCUGUCGUCGAAAAAUAAACACAGACUCGGCUCCUUUGACAGCGAGUUCUAAAAUGUGUAGAAAAUCUGAUUAAAAAUCAAACAGUACGAAAUAGUGGAUUUCAUGUGGAGAAAAGACAAAGCCUAUCAACCUUUGACUGGAGCUCUGACUGCCCAGUAACACUCACUCAACUGAAACACAACUGACCAGUGGACAUCACCCAUGAACCAGAGGAGCUGCCACUCCAACAAUCUACCAAAGUCUGAGGGAGAGCAGGUGUUCAGUGGGAGGAGCUGGAAUGAAAGAGUCACCGUUCUCCUGAUUCCAGCACAUAUUUCUGAGGGACUCUAGCUCCACCUGGUGACGAGGAAUUCCUCAGAGACCUCUAUAGGACGCAGGUGGACGGAGGCUUUGAUGUGGGAGGAGACCUGAUGUAGACUGUGCUGCACACAAACAAUUAAAAUGGAGGAAGUGAAAACAUAAAAGAAGUUGCACAGGAUAAGGAGCAAAGUGCCGGGAACCAUUCAACUGCAGCUUCCUGGUUAAAUAUCAUUCAGAUUCAGGGAAUUGUUGGUCUCCUUGUUCCUGACGUUCACCACCAGUACGGUUACUGGUAUUGUCUCUCUCACAUUCUGUCUCCUGCAGUGAGCAGAGUUUAUGAGACGAUGUCAGACACGGCAGCUGAAGUGCAGAUUGAAGAAUCCUUGAAGAGUCUCACUCUUACUCCCUGUAGACUUAAUGACCUUGUCGAGGAACAACUGCUUUUUAAAAGACGUUCUCUCUCUCCACUGUCACCAAUUGUCAGGAGGUAAUUUUCGCAGUUCACUUCGUGGCGGCUGCAGGUGAAAGCUGCUGCUGUCACGAUGACAGAAAGAGAUGAGAUCCUGCAGGUUUCUCUGGGGACGGCCAUGUCAGUCCGUCCGUCCAUCCACCGCUUU
Pleuronectes platessa (European plaice) is the source of this 931-nucleotide long non-coding RNA. RefSeq lists it as uncharacterized. The transcript is spliced from 3 exons. Lineage: Eukaryota; Metazoa; Chordata; Actinopteri; Pleuronectiformes; Pleuronectidae. The record is from RefSeq and is a predicted model, not a curated record.